CUUUUCGAGUUUGUAAACAUCUGUGCUAGUUGUACCAUACUGUCAUGCAGACAGAGAAAGCGUUGUGGACAGACGAAAAUAAAGCAGCGAUCGAAUGUUAUGAAAAUGCACUUUGCCCUUAGCAGAACCAACACGGAAAGCAUCGACGAUGUUUAUAAAUACACAGCUAGAAAACUUACUGCCUGCUUUCCGUUGUAGGAACGUCCUCUUUUCUAAGAGCGUGGUAACUCCACGCUGAAGGGCCCGAAAUGUUUCCCUGGGCUAUCGGAUCUGCCCGUUUAAUUCCUUUCACUUUUGUUUACGCGCUGAAUAAACACUGCUCUGCGGCAGCAGACCUGAGCCGUCAGAUGGAAUCGGGGGCCGGCGGGGGGCCGCCGUAGCGUCUCGCGCAGCCGCUUCAGUCGCCGCCGGACAUUCUCCUUCAUCUCAGUCAUACCACUGAAUGCCAAGCGCAACUCAGGGCAGGAAUCGGAAGUACUCGUUGCAGCGAAUGAAAACUUCCCUCCCUUACACGCCAACAAAUGCUUUUUAGAGAAAAGCUAUAUUCGCUGCCUUGGGAUGACAUCCCUUCUCUUUCCAACGUUGAAGGCUGUACUUUGGUAAGCGCAUGCACGGUGUGAUCCUUAGUCCCGUCUUCUCACACGAACCAUACUCUGAGCACAACAGAACUCUUGAAGUGUGCUUGCUUUUGCUUGACAUUUAGUCAGGGAUUUCUAAGUUGCUAAUUAUUCACAGAUUUCUUUCUUUCUUUCUUUCUUUUUUUUUUUUUUCCCCCAAAGCUCAACUGCAGAUGUUCAGGGGUCUUUGCCUCAAGUAGUGCUUAGCUUGGUAAAAACAGGAAUCAGAUAAGAGUGCUACCUCUGAGGCUAAGAAAGGCUCUCAGACUGUGGUGGGACUUUCUGGUAAGGUGUCACUACAAGGAACUGUUCCUUGCAAUGGAAUUAAAGGACAGAUUCACUUCUUUUCACAGUGUAAGCUUUCAUAAUUUUCCCCAGCUAGUUUCUUACUUUGUAGACUGAUAGAGUGUUCAGUGUAUGUGUAUUAAAAUGAAAAUGGCUGUCAAAAAAAGCACAUUUGGGCCUCCCUAGCUGGAGAUGUUUUGUUUACUGAAUUGACAAGCUGGGAAGGAAGCUCAUGGAAAAGGUGAUUAAUUUGUACCAGAUCUGAAAACCACAGAGAGUCUCCAGCAACGGGAUCCCAGUUUCCUACCCAUGGGUUACAAUUGCCAGAAUAUUUGCAAGUAUGUAAAAACAAGGAAUCGAGGUUCA
This 1268-nucleotide long non-coding RNA is filed under the name Phasianus colchicus (ring-necked pheasant). RNAcentral describes it as "lncRNA (ENSPCLG00000006134.1)". The record is from RNAcentral. Lineage: Eukaryota; Metazoa; Chordata; Aves; Galliformes; Phasianidae.